UCUCCGUUGGUGAACCAGCGGAGGGAUCAUUACAGAGUUUUUAACUCCCAAACCCUUUGUGAACUUACCUUAUUGUUGCCUCGGCGAGCCCCUGGGAUUCGUCCUACGCCCGCCGGUGGCCCGUUACUCUGUCUCGCGCGUUGGCAUCUCCGAGUACAUACAAAUAAGUUAAAACUUUCAACAACGGAUCUCUUGGUUCUGGCAUCGAUGAAGAACGCAGC
RNAcentral lists this unclassified non-coding RNA (221 nucleotides) under uncultured fungus. RNAcentral's name for it is "sequence contains ITS1, 5.8S rRNA gene". The stretch from base 173 to 221 matches the Rfam family "5.8S ribosomal RNA", at positions 1 to 49 of the family's 154-position model. Lineage: Eukaryota; Fungi. The record is from RNAcentral.